UAACCAGCACUUUGUAUUUUGCCCGGAAACAUAUCGACAGCCAGUGCAACUGUUUCAAAACAGUAACUGUUUCAAAACUGUUUCAAACAUAAUUUGUAUUAUGUUUCCUUGUCAAAGUGUACACAGGGCAUCUAGACACAAAAUAU
Small nucleolar RNA from Hemicordylus capensis (graceful crag lizard), 146 nucleotides. RefSeq annotates it as small nucleolar RNA snR34. The transcript has a single exon. Lineage: Eukaryota; Metazoa; Chordata; Lepidosauria; Squamata; Cordylidae. The record is from RefSeq and is a predicted model, not a curated record.